Molecule: ribosomal RNA, 507 nt
Filed under: uncultured bacterium
Lineage: Bacteria
Description: partial 16S ribosomal RNA
Source: RNAcentral
GGAGUUAGCCGGUGCUUCUUCUGUGAGUGAUGUCCUUCCUGCCGGCUAUUAACCCGCAGGCCUUCUUCCUCACUGAAAGUGCUUUACAACCCGAAGGCCUUCUUCACACACGCGGCAUGGCUGGAUCAGGGUUGCCCCCAUUGUCCAAUAUUCCCCACUGCUGCCUCCCGUAGGAGUCUGGGCCGUGUCUCAGUCCCAGUGUGGCUGAUCAUCCUCUCAGACCAGCUACGGAUCGUCGCCUUGGUGAGCCGUUACCUCACCAACCAGCUAAUCCGACAUAGGCUCAUCCGAUAGCGCGAGGCCCGAAGGUCCCCCGCUUUCCCCCGUAGGGCGUAUGCGGUAUUAGCCUGGGUUUCCCCAGGUUAUCCCCCACUACCGGGCAGAUUCCUAUGCAUUACUCACCCGUCCGCCGCUCGCCACCAGGGAGCAAGCUCCCCGUGCUGCCGCUCGACUUGCAUGUGUUAGGCCUGCCGCCAGCGUUCAAUCUGAACCAAGAUCAAACUCUGA